Transfer RNA from Micromonas sp., 71 nucleotides. It matches the Rfam family "tRNA". Rfam says of the family: Transfer RNA (tRNA) molecules are approximately 80 nucleotides in length. Lineage: Eukaryota; Viridiplantae; Chlorophyta; Mamiellophyceae; Mamiellales; Mamiellaceae. The record is from Rfam.
GCGGAUAUAGAUUAAUGGUAAAUUCUCUGUCUUCCACACAGAUGAUAUGGGUUCGAUUCCCGUUAUCCGCA